Molecule: ribosomal RNA, 292 nt
Filed under: uncultured Planctomycetota bacterium
Lineage: Bacteria; Pseudomonadati; Planctomycetota
Description: uncultured planctomycete partial 16S ribosomal RNA
Source: RNAcentral
GGACUACCAGGGUAUCUAAUCCCGUUUGCUCCCCUAGCUUUCGCGCCUCAGCGUCAGAAAAGAUCCAGUCGCGCGCUUUCGCCACCGGCGUUCCUGCCAAUAUCAACGCAUUUCACCGCUCCACUGGCAGUUCCCGCGACCCCUACCUCCCUCGAGCUCGCCAGUAUCCACGGCAAUUUUCCGGUUGAGCCGAAAGAUUUCACCGCAGACUUGACAAGCCGCCUACGCGCCCUUUAAGCCCAGUGAAUCCGAACAACGUUCGCACGGUUCGUCUUACCGCGGCUGCUGGCAC